GACGAACGCUGGCGGCGUGCUUAACACAUGCAAGUCGAACGGAAAGGCCCUGCUUGCAGGGUACUCGAGUGGCGAACGGGUGAGUAACACGUGGGUGAUCUGCCCUGCACUUCGGGAUAAGCCUGGGAAACUGGGUCUAAUACCGGAUAGGAGCCAUUUUUAGUGUGAUGGUUGGAAAGUUUUUUCGGUGUAGGAUGAGCUCGCGGCCUAUCAGCUUGUUGGUGGGGUAAUGGCCUACCAAGGCGGCGACGGGUAGCCGGCCUGAGAGGGUGGACGGCCACAUUGGGACUGAGAUACGGCCCAGACUCCUACGGGAGGCAGCAGUGGGGAAUAUUGCACAAUGGGCGCAAGCCUGAUGCAGCGACGCCGCGUGGGGGAUGACGGCCUUCGGGUUGUAAACCUCUUUUAGCAGGGAAGAAGCGAAAGUGACGGUACCUGCAGAAAAAGCGCCGGCUAACUACGUG
Molecule: ribosomal RNA, 464 nt
Filed under: uncultured bacterium
Lineage: Bacteria
Description: partial 16S ribosomal RNA
Rfam family: Bacterial small subunit ribosomal RNA
Source: RNAcentral